Molecule: ribosomal RNA, 429 nt
Filed under: uncultured Gammaproteobacteria bacterium
Lineage: Bacteria; Pseudomonadati; Pseudomonadota; Gammaproteobacteria
Description: bacterial SSU rRNA
Rfam family: Bacterial small subunit ribosomal RNA
Source: RNAcentral
UGGGGAAUAUUGGACAAUGGGCGCAAGCCUGAUCCAGCAAUACCGCGUGUGUGAAGAAGGCCUUAGGGUUGUAAAGCACUUUCAAUAGGGACGAAAUGCCUGAGCCGAAUAAGUUUGGGUUUUGACUUAACCUAUAGAAGAAGCACCGGCUAACUCCGUGCCAGCAGCCGCGGUAAUACGGAGGGUGCAAGCGUUAAUCGGAAUUACUGGGCGUAAAGCGCUCGUAGGCGGCUUGUUAAGUCGGAUGUGAAAGCCCUGGGCUCAACCUGGGAACUGCAUUCGAUACUGUCAGGCUAGAGCAUAGAAGAGGCAAGUGGAAUUCCAGGUGUAGCGGUGAAAUGCGUAGAUAUCUGGAGGAACAUCAGUGGCGAAGGCGACUUGCUGGUCUAAUACUGACGCUGAGGAGCGAAAGCGUGGGGAGCAAACGGG